Ictalurus punctatus (channel catfish) is the source of this 362-nucleotide long non-coding RNA. NCBI's taxonomy places the organism in Eukaryota, Metazoa, Chordata, Actinopteri, Siluriformes, Ictaluridae. The record is from Ensembl.
GUGUUAACGAGCGCCGUAUGUCAGGUUCUUCAUCAGAUCUCCACGUGUUUCGACUGAAAUGUUCUCCGUGUCUCCACUCGCAGUGAAGUCCCCCAGUCUCAUGAACAACAGGAGUACAAACUUUCCACAGCAAACAUGUCUUGACUGAUCAAUGAGAUGGUGUUUAUUUCAUUUCUGACUGAACUGCUCCAUUUGCAACCAUGAAUUCCUGAAGCACAAAAGGCUCGGAUGUCAAUCCGAUUUGCAAACCAAAGCUGGACUAUUCACCGCUUCACACUGAAGGACAUUCACACUCAAGGCCAGAGCACAGAGAGCAGGAUGAGGCGUCGGAAGUGGACCUUACGGAGAAGACGUGAAAGGAG